UACGUAGGGGCCUAGCGUUGUCCGGAUUUAUUGGGCGUAAAGAGCUCGUAGGCGGUUCGGCAAGUCAGCUGUGAAAUCUCCACGCUUAACGUGGAGGGGUCAGCUGAUACUGCCGUGACUCGAGUCCGGUAGGGGAGUGUGGAAUUCCCGGUGUAGCAGUGAAAUGCGUAGAUAUCAGGAGGAACACCGGUGGCGAAGGCGGGUCUCUGGGCCGAUAUUGACGCUGAGGAGCGAAAGCGUGGGGAGCAAACAGG
Molecule: ribosomal RNA, 254 nt
Filed under: uncultured bacterium
Lineage: Bacteria
Description: partial 16S ribosomal RNA
Rfam family: Bacterial small subunit ribosomal RNA
Source: RNAcentral